GACGAACGCUGGCGGCGUGCUUAACACAUGCAAGUCGAGCGGAAAGGCCACUUCGGUGGUACUCGAGCGGCGAACGGGUGAGUAACACGUGAGUAAUCUGCCCCUGGCUUCGGGAUAGCCACCGGAAACGGUGAUUAAUACCGGAUAUGACAGACCCUCGCAUGGGGGUGUGUGGAAAGUUUUUCGGCCAGGGAUGUGCUCGCGGCCUAUCAGCUUGAUGGUGAGGUAAUGGCUCACCAUGGCUUCGACGGGUAGCCGGCCUGAGAGGGUGACCGGCCACACUGGGACUGAGACACGGCCCAGACUCCUACGGGAGGCAGCAGUGGGGAAUAUUGGACAAUGGGCGGAAGCCUGAUCCAGCAACGCCGCGUGAGGGAUGACGGCCUUCGGGUUGUAAACCUCUUUCAGUACCGACGAAGCGCAAGUGACGGUAGGUACAGAAGAAGCACCGGCCAACUACGUGCCAGCAGCCGCGGUAAUACGUAGGGUGCGAGCGUUGUCCGGAAUUAUUGGGCGUAAAGGGCUCGUAGGCGGUUUGUCGCGUCGGGAGUGAAAACGCCGUGCUUAACACGGCGCUUGCUUCCGAUACGGGCAGACUAGAGGUAUUCAGGGGAGAACGGAAUUCCUGGUGUAGCGGUGAAAUGCGCAGAUAUCAGGAGGAACACCGGUGGCGAAGGCGGUUCUCUGGGAAUGACCUGACGCUGAGGAGCGAAGGUGUGGGGAGCGAACAGG
RNAcentral lists this ribosomal RNA (732 nucleotides) under uncultured Actinomycetes bacterium. Its description in RNAcentral is "bacterial SSU rRNA". It matches the Rfam family "Bacterial small subunit ribosomal RNA", at positions 28 to 776 of the family's 1533-position model. Lineage: Bacteria; Bacillati; Actinomycetota; Actinomycetes. The record is from RNAcentral.